AUUGUUAUAUCGUUUUUACAAAUUUGUAAUCACAAAAUUUUCAUUUGUACACCUUAUUAAACACUAUGAAAUCCAUUUUCUAUCUGUGGGUGCUGGUGUGACGCCACACGGACAUCCGCAAUUUUUAAAUGGCUUUUGUGAGCAGAUGGUGGGUGUACAAAUGAAUAUUGCGUGAUUACAAAUCUGUACAAACAAUAUAACAAU
Non-coding RNA from Cinara cedri, 204 nucleotides. The record is from the annotation of a GenBank genome assembly. NCBI's taxonomy places the organism in Eukaryota, Metazoa, Arthropoda, Insecta, Hemiptera, Aphididae.